GAUGAACGCUAGCGGCAGGCCUAACACAUGCGAGUCGAGGGAGAAGCCCUUCGGGGCAGAAACCGGCGCACGGGUGCGUAACGCGUAUGCAACCUACCUUUCACAGGGGGAUAGCCCGGAGAAAUUUGGAUUAAUAUCCCAUAAUAUUGUUGGAUGGCAUCAUUUGGCAAUUAAAGUUACGAUGGUGGAAGAUGGGCAUGCGUCCUAUUAGCUAGUUGGCGAGGUAACAGCUCGCCAAGGCGACGAUAGGUAGGGGUCCUGAGAGGGAGAUCCCCCACACUGGUACUGAGACAGGGACCAGACUCCUACGGGAGGCAGCAGUGAGGAAUAUUGGUCAAUGGUCGGAAGACUGAACCAGCCAUGCCGCGUGCAGGAAGGCGGCCUUAUGGGUUGUAAACUGCUUUUAUAUGGGAAGAAUAAAGGGGUAACGUGUACUUUGAUGACGGAACCAUAUGAAUAAAGC
Molecule: ribosomal RNA, 463 nt
Filed under: Capnocytophaga sp. oral taxon 338
Lineage: Bacteria; Pseudomonadati; Bacteroidota; Flavobacteriia; Flavobacteriales; Flavobacteriaceae
Description: bacterial SSU rRNA
Rfam family: Bacterial small subunit ribosomal RNA
Source: RNAcentral